UACGGAGGGGGCAAGCGUUAUUCGGAAUUAUUGGGCGUAAAGGGCGUGUAGGCGGCUUUGUAAGUCCUAUGUGAAAGCCCUCGGCUUAACCGGGGAACUGCAUAGGAAACUGCCGAGCUUGAGUUCGGGAGAGGAGAGUGGAAUUCCCAGUGUAGCGGUGAAAUGCGUAGAUAUUGGGAGGAACACCGGUGGCGAAGGCGGCUCUCUGGACCGAUACUGACGCUGAGACGCGAAAGCUAGGGGAGCAAACGGG
RNAcentral lists this ribosomal RNA (253 nucleotides) under uncultured bacterium. Its description in RNAcentral is "partial 16S ribosomal RNA". It matches the Rfam family "Bacterial small subunit ribosomal RNA", at positions 524 to 776 of the family's 1533-position model. The record is from RNAcentral.